CUCAGAGGAGGAGUACUACAACGACCUCCAUGUUUUGAACACGAAUACUUUUGUCUGGAAGAAGAUUUCUACCACUGGAGUCUCGCCUAUUUCUCGGGAUAGCCAUACCUGCUCUUCCUAUAAGAACUGUUUCGUUGUCAUGGGUGGCGAGGACGGUGGUAAUGCCUAUCUAAACGACGUUCAUAUUCUGGACACAGAAACAAUGGCAUGGCAG
This is a long non-coding RNA of Selaginella moellendorffii, 214 nucleotides long. RefSeq lists it as uncharacterized. The transcript is spliced from 3 exons. The record is from RefSeq and is a predicted model, not a curated record. NCBI's taxonomy places the organism in Eukaryota, Viridiplantae, Streptophyta, Lycopodiopsida, Selaginellales, Selaginellaceae.